Non-coding RNA from Pelobates cultripes (western spadefoot toad), 270 nucleotides. The record is from the annotation of a GenBank genome assembly. NCBI's taxonomy places the organism in Eukaryota, Metazoa, Chordata, Amphibia, Anura, Pelobatidae.
CAGAGUUUAAACACAUAGAAAAACCCGAGAUCACAGCAGAUUCUCAACUUAAGCAAAUAUUUUUCGGCAUCCAUGAGCGAAGAGAGAGCUGUAAUUAGAAGUCUUCUGUAUUUCACGAGAACGCCUGAGAUAACUGAUGGAGGGGAACUGGAUGUUAUCGAGGUGCUAUGAAUCACCUCGCCCGUAACCUAUGGAAGAGAAAUACAUCAGCAUAUGAGCUAGGAGAUUAUCAACAUGUUUUCCUCUAUAAUUUCAUGCGGUGCAGUGAGC